UAUAUUUGGCAUUCAUUUGGAACACCUUGAAGAAAUUGGAGCUGUUUUCUAUUUAUUUUUUGACUUUCUGGUUGAAAAAUAUCGCCUAGAUUUGCCUUUUUUUUACAUCUAACGUUAUGGAUAAUAAUUCAGCUUACUAUGGACAGCAGCCUUGUGGCUUUUCCAAUGCAUUCGCUGCUGGGAAUGGCAACUGUCCCAAUGGUAACUGCAGUCGCGGCAAUUGUCCUGGUGGCAACUGCCCUGGUGGCAAUUGUCCUGGCGGCUAUUGCAUGCGCGACAGACAUAACCCAAGAGCCAGCUGGCAAGCAAAUAAUGGACAUCGUCACUAAAGAGCCGAUGCAUCCAUUAAGCGGCAAAUCGGCGCGUGAUUUCCUCUAAUUAAAAUCUGUAACACAACCAGAAUCGUGAAUCCACUCGCAAUUCUCUCCCCAAAAAGCGCAAAAUGAAUGGCAUACAUAACAUAACAGCACAAUUAAUUUCAAAAUAAAAACUACAAAACUAAAUA
Drosophila busckii is the source of this 505-nucleotide long non-coding RNA. RefSeq lists it as uncharacterized. The record is from RefSeq and is a predicted model, not a curated record. Lineage: Eukaryota; Metazoa; Arthropoda; Insecta; Diptera; Drosophilidae. The transcript is spliced from 2 exons.